This 333-nucleotide ribosomal RNA is filed under the name uncultured Bacillota bacterium. RNAcentral describes it as "bacterial SSU rRNA". It matches the Rfam family "Bacterial small subunit ribosomal RNA", at positions 28 to 351 of the family's 1533-position model. The record is from RNAcentral. Lineage: Bacteria; Bacillati; Bacillota.
GACGAACGCUGGCGGCGUGCCUAAUACAUGCAAGUCGAGCGAAUUUAUGGGAGCUUGCUCCCGUAAAUUAGCGGCGGACGGGUGAGUAACACGUGGGCAACCUGCCUAUAAGACUGGGAUAACUUCGGGAAACCGGAGCUAAUACCGGAUAAUUCCUUUCCUCACAUGAGGGAAGGCUGAAAGAUGGUUUACGCUAUCACUUAUAGAUGGGCCCGCGGCGCAUUAGCUAGUUGGUGAGGUAAUGGCUCACCAAGGCAACGAUGCGUAGCCGACCUGAGAGGGUGAUCGGCCACACUGGGACUGAGACACGGCCCAGACUCCUACGGGUGGCUG